GGCCAUAUAACAUUGAAACACUGGCUCCCAUCUGAUCACUGAAGUUAAGCAAUGUUGAAUGUGGUCAGUACCUAGAUGGGUAACUGCUUGGGAAUACCAGGUAAUG
Molecule: non-coding RNA, 106 nt
Organism: Acanthosepion pharaonis
Lineage: Eukaryota; Metazoa; Mollusca; Cephalopoda; Sepiida; Sepiidae
Source: the annotation of a GenBank genome assembly